UGAGGAAUAUUGGUCAAUGGACGCAAGUCUGAACCAGCCAUGCCGCGUGGAGGAUGAAGGCCUUCUGGGUUGUAAACUUCUUUUAUCUGGGAAGAAAAGCACGGUUUCUACUGUGUCCGACGGUACCAGAUGAAUAAGCACCGGCUAACUCCGUGCCAGCAGCCGCGGUAAUACGGAGGGUGCAAGCGUUAUCCGGAUUUACUGGGUUUAAAGGGUGUGUAGGCGGAUAUUUAAGUCAGAGGUGAAAUCUCCAGGCUCAACCUGGAAACUGCCUUUGAUACUAUUUAUCUUGAAUUUCGUUGAGGUUGGCAGAAUAUAUCAUGUAGCGGUGAAAUGCAUAGAUAUGAUAUAGAAUACCGAUUGCGUAGGCAGCUGGCUGAACGACGAUUGACGCUGAGGCACGAAAGCGUGGGUAGCGAACA
RNAcentral lists this ribosomal RNA (422 nucleotides) under uncultured Edaphobaculum sp. RNAcentral describes it as "bacterial SSU rRNA". It matches the Rfam family "Bacterial small subunit ribosomal RNA", at positions 355 to 774 of the family's 1533-position model. The record is from RNAcentral. Lineage: Bacteria; Pseudomonadati; Bacteroidota; Chitinophagia; Chitinophagales; Chitinophagaceae.